RNAcentral lists this ribosomal RNA (237 nucleotides) under uncultured bacterium. Its description in RNAcentral is "partial 16S ribosomal RNA". It matches the Rfam family "Bacterial small subunit ribosomal RNA", at positions 118 to 351 of the family's 1533-position model. The record is from RNAcentral.
UGAGUAACCUGCCCUUAACUCUGGGAUAAGCCUGGGAAACUGGGUCUAAUACCGGAUAUGACUCCUCAUCGCAUGGUGGGGGGUGGAAAGCUUUAUUGUGGUUUGGAUGGACUCGCGGCCUAUCAGCUUGUUGGUGAGGUAAUGGCUCACCAAGGCGACGACGGGUAGCCGGCCUGAGAGGGUGACCGGCCACACUGGGACUGAGACACGGGCCCAGACCUCCGUACGGGGAGGCAG